This 2861-nucleotide ribosomal RNA is filed under the name Shigella boydii. RNAcentral's name for it is "partial 23S ribosomal RNA". It matches the Rfam family "Bacterial large subunit ribosomal RNA". The record is from RNAcentral. Lineage: Bacteria; Pseudomonadati; Pseudomonadota; Gammaproteobacteria; Enterobacterales; Enterobacteriaceae.
GACGUGCUAAUCUGCGAUAAGCGUCGGUAAGGUGAUAUGAACCGUUAUAACCGGCGAUUUCCGAAUGGGGAAACCCAGUGUGUUUCGACACACUAUCAUUAACUGAAUCCAUAGGUUAAUGAGGCGAACCGGGGGAACUGAAACAUCUAAGUACCCCGAGGAAAAGAAAUCAACCGAGAUUCCCCCAGUAGCGGCGAGCGAACGGGGAGCAGCCCAGAGCCUGAAUCAGUGUGUGUGUUAGUGGAAGCGUCUGGAAAGGCGCGCGAUACAGGGUGACAGCCCCGUACACAAAAAUGCACAUGCUGUGAGCUCGAUGAGUAGGGCGGGACACGUGGUAUCCUGUCUGAAUAUGGGGGGACCAUCCUCCAAGGCUAAAUACUCCUGACUGACCGAUAGUGAACCAGUACCGUGAGGGAAAGGCGAAAAGAACCCCGGCGAGGGGAGUGAAAAAGAACCUGAAACCGUGUACGUACAAGCAGUGGGAGCCUCUUUAUGGGGUGACUGCGUACCUUUUGUAUAAUGGGUCAGCGACUUAUAUUCUGUAGCAAGGUUAACCGAAUAGGGGAGCCGAAGGGAAACCGAGUCUUAACUGGGCGUUAAGUUGCAGGGUAUAGACCCGAAACCCGGUGAUCUAGCCAUGGGCAGGUUGAAGGUUGGGUAACACUAACUGGAGGACCGAACCGACUAAUGUUGAAAAAUUAGCGGAUGACUUGUGGCUGGGGGUGAAAGGCCAAUCAAACCGGGAGAUAGCUGGUUCUCCCCGAAAGCUAUUUAGGUAGCGCCUCGUGAAUUCAUCUCCGGGGGUAGAGCACUGUUUCGGCAAGGGGGUCAUCCCGACUUACCAACCCGAUGCAAACUGCGAAUACCGGAGAAUGUUAUCACGGGAGACACACGGCGGGUGCUAACGUCCGUCGUGAAGAGGGAAACAACCCAGACCGCCAGCUAAGGUCCCAAAGUCAUGGUUAAGUGGGAAACGAUGUGGGAAGGCCCAGACAGCCAGGAUGUUGGCUUAGAAGCAGCCAUCAUUUAAAGAAAGCGUAAUAGCUCACUGGUCGAGUCGGCCUGCGCGGAAGAUGUAACGGGGCUAAACCAUGCACCGAAGCUGCGGCAGCGACGCUUAUGCGUUGUUGGGUAGGGGAGCGUUCUGUAAGCCUGUGAAGGUGUGCUGUGAGGCAUGCUGGAGGUAUCAGAAGUGCGAAUGCUGACAUAAGUAACGAUAAAGCGGGUGAAAAGCCCGCUCGCCGGAAGACCAAGGGUUCCUGUCCAACGUUAAUCGGGGCAGGGUGAGUCGACCCCUAAGGCGAGGCCGAAAGGCGUAGUCGAUGGGAAACAGGUUAAUAUUCCUGUACUUGGUGUUACUGCGAAGGGGGGACGGAGAAGGCUAUGUUGGCCGGGCGACGGUUGUCCCGGUUUAAGCGUGUAGGCUGAUUUUCCAGGCAAAUCCGGAAAAUCAAGGCUGAGGCGUGAUGACGAGGCACUACGGUGCUGAAGCAACAAAUGCCCUGCUUCCAGGAAAAGCCUCUAAGCAUCAGGUAACAUCAAAUCGUACCCCAAACCGACACAGGUGGUCAGGUAGAGAAUACCAAGGCGCUUGAGAGAACUCGGGUGAAGGAACUAGGCAAAAUGGUGCCGUAACUUCGGGAGAAGGCACGCUGAUAUGUAGGUGAAGUCCCUCGCGGAUGGAGCUGAAAUCAGUCGAAGAUACCAGCUGGCUGCAACUGUUUAUUAAAAACACAGCACUGUGCAAACACGAAAGUGGACGUAUACGGUGUGACGCCUGCCCGGUGCCGGAAGGUUAAUUGAUGGGGUCAGCGCAAGCGAAGCUCUUGAUCGAAGCCCCGGUAAACGGCGGCCGUAACUAUAACGGUCCUAAGGUAGCGAAAUUCCUUGUCGGGUAAGUUCCGACCUGCACGAAUGGCGUAAUGAUGGCCAGGCUGUCUCCACCCGAGACUCAGUGAAAUUGAACUCGCUGUGAAGAUGCAGUGUACCCGCGGCAAGACGGAAAGACCCCGUGAACCUUUACUAUAGCUUGACACUGAACAUUGAGCCUUGAUGUGUAGGAUAGGUGGGAGGCUUUGAAGUGUGGACGCCAGUCUGCAUGGAGCCGGCCUUGAAAUACCACCCUUUAAUGUUUGAUGUUCUAACGUGGACCCGUAAUCCGGGUUGCGGACAGUGUCUGGUGGGUAGUUUGACUGGGGCGGUCUCCUCCUAAAGAGUAACGGAGGAGCACGAAGGUUGGCUAAUCCUGGUCGGACAUCAGGAGGUUAGUGCAAUGGCAUAAGCCAGCUUGACUGCGAGCGUGACGGCGCGAGCAGGUGCGAAAGCAGGUCAUAGUGAUCCGGUGGUUCUGAAUGGAAGGGCCAUCGCUCAACGGAUAAAAGGUACUCCGGGGAUAACAGGCUGAUACCGCCCAAGAGUUCAUAUCGACGGCGGUGUUUGGCACCUCGAUGUCGGCUCAUCACAUCCUGGGGCUGAAGUAGGUCCCAAGGGUAUGGCUGUUCGCCAUUUAAAGUGGUACGCGAGCUGGGUUUAGAACGUCGUGAGACAGUUCGGUCCCUAUCUGCCGUGGGCGCUGGAGAACUGAGGGGGGCUGCUCCUAGUACGAGAGGACCGGAGUGGACGCAUCACUGGUGUUCGGGUUGUCAUGCCAAUGGCACUGCCCGGUAGCUAAAUGCGGAAGAGAUAAGUGCUGAAAGCAUCUAAGCACGAAACUUGCCCCGAGAUGAGUUCUCCCUGACCCUUUAAGGGUCCUGAAGGAACGUUGAAGACGACGACGUUGAUAGGCCGGGUGUGUAAGCGCAGCGAUGCGUUGAGCUAACCGGUACUAAUGAACCGUGAGGCUUAACCUUACAACGCCGAAG